RNAcentral lists this ribosomal RNA (970 nucleotides) under Helicobacter pylori. Its description in RNAcentral is "bacterial SSU rRNA". It matches the Rfam family "Bacterial small subunit ribosomal RNA", at positions 53 to 1044 of the family's 1533-position model. Lineage: Bacteria; Pseudomonadati; Campylobacterota; Epsilonproteobacteria; Campylobacterales; Helicobacteraceae. The record is from RNAcentral.
ACAUGCAAGUCGAACGAUGAAGGUACUAGCUUGCUAGAGUGCUCAUUAGUGGCGCACGGGUGUGUAACGCAAAGGUCAUGUGGCUCUUAGAUUGGGAUAGCCAUUGGAAACCAUGAUUAAUACCUGAUACUCCCUACGGGGGAAAGAUUUAUCGCUAAGAGAUCAGCCUAUGUCCUAUCAGCUUGUUGGUAAGGUAAUGGCUUACCAAGGCUAUGACGGGUAUCCGGCCUGAGAGGGUGAACGGACACACUGGAACUGAGACACGGUCCAGACUGCUACGGGAGGCAGCACUAGGGAUUAUUGCUCAAUGGGGGAAACCCUGAAGCAGCAACGCCGCGUGGAGGAUGAAGGUUUUAGGAUUGUAAACUCCUUUUGUUAGAGAAGAUAAUGACGGUAUCUAACGAAUAAGCACCGGCUAACUCGGUGCCAGCAGCCGCGGUAAUACGCAGGGUGCAAGCGUUACUCGGUAUCACUGGGCGUAUAGAGCGCGUAGCCGGGUUAGUCAGUCAGGUGUGAAAUCCUAUGGCUUAACCAUAGAACUGCAUUUGAAACUACUAUUCUAGAGUGUGGGAGAGGUAGGUGGAAUUCUUGGUGUAGGGGUAAAAUCCGUAGAGAUCAAGAGGAAUACUCAUUGCGUAGGCGUCCUGCUGGAAGAUUACUGACGCUGAUUGCGCGAAAGCGUGGGGAGCAAACAGGAUUAGAUACCCUGGUAGUCCACGCCCUAAACGAUGGAUGCUAGUUGUUGGAGGGCUUAGUCUCUCCAGUAAUGCAGCUAACGCAUUAAGCAUCCCGCCUGGGGAGUACGGUCGCAAGAUUAAAACUCAAAGGAAUAGACGGGGACCCGCACAAGCGGUGGAGCAUGUGGUUUAAUUCGAAGAUACACGAAGAACCUUACCUAGGCUUGACAUUGAGAGAAUCCGCUAGAAAUAGUGGAGUGUCUAGCUUGCUAGACCUUGAAAACAGGUGCUGC